AAUCCACCUGGGGAGUACGUUCGCAAGAAUGAAACUCAAAGGAAUUGACGGGGCCGGCACAAGCGGAGGAACAUGUGGUUUAAUUCGAUGAUACGCGAGGAACCUUACCCGGGCUUGAAAUGCAUCUGACAGGGGCGAGAGACGCCCUUUUCCUUCGGGACAGAUGUGUAGGUGCUGCAUGGUUGUCGUCAGCUCGUGCCGUGAGGUGUCGGCUUAAGUGCCAUAACGAGCGCAACCCUCAUCAUUAGUUACCAUCAGGUCAAGCUGGGGACUCUAAUGAGACUGCCAUCGUAAGAUGCGAGGAAGGUGGGGAUGACGUCAAAUCAGCACGGCCCUUACGUCCGGGGCGACACACGUGUUACAAUGGGUGGUACAAAGGGCAGCUACCUGGCGACAGGAUGCUAAUCUCCAAAACCACUCUCAGUUCGGAUCGGAGUCUGCAACUCGACUCCGUGAAGCUGGAUUCGCUAGUAAUCGCGCAUCAGCCACGGCGCGGUGAAUACCGUUCCCGGGGCCUUGUACACACCGCCCGUCAAGCCAUGGAAGCCGGGGGUUACCUGAAGUCCGUAACCGUCAAGGAGCGGCCUAGGGUAAAACUGGUGACUGGGGCUAAGUCGUAAC
RNAcentral lists this ribosomal RNA (621 nucleotides) under uncultured bacterium. RNAcentral's name for it is "SSU rRNA". It matches the Rfam family "Bacterial small subunit ribosomal RNA", at positions 866 to 1492 of the family's 1533-position model. The record is from RNAcentral.